UUGUAUCAACACUACUGCAGGAGUGAAAUUAGGCAUGAAGAACAGUGAACCCUCCCUCACCCUGUUAUCUCUACACUGUUUAUUCUAGUUAGCCAUUAGUCUAACCUUUUUUCAAGGUUUUUACCUUCCUUGCGACAGUUAGAACAUGCUCCUUUAGUUUGGAGAAGUGUGUUAUUACCGACCUUCUGAAGCCUACUUCUGUCAACUCAUCAAAAUCAUUCCCCAUCCAGCUUUGUUCCACU
This 242-nucleotide long non-coding RNA is filed under the name Homo sapiens (human). RNAcentral's name for it is "non-protein coding lnc-SYNCRIP-2:16". Lineage: Eukaryota; Metazoa; Chordata; Mammalia; Primates; Hominidae. The record is from RNAcentral.